This 243-nucleotide ribosomal RNA is filed under the name uncultured bacterium. RNAcentral's name for it is "partial 16S ribosomal RNA". It matches the Rfam family "Bacterial small subunit ribosomal RNA", at positions 534 to 776 of the family's 1533-position model. The record is from RNAcentral.
GCAAGCGUUAUCCGGAAUUAUUGGGCGUAAAGCGUCCGCAGGUGGCUGUGUAAGUCUGCUGUCAAAGAGCAAAGCUCAACUUUGUAAAGGCAGUGGAAACUACACGGCUAGAGUGCGUUCGGGGCAGAGGGAAUUCCUGGUGUAGCGGUGAAAUGCGUAGAGAUCAGGAAGAACACCGGUGGCGAAGGCGCUCUGCUAGGCCGCAACUGACACUGCGGGACGAAAGCUAGGGGAGCGAAUGGG